This 860-nucleotide long non-coding RNA is filed under the name Pongo abelii (Sumatran orangutan). Its description in RNAcentral is "lincRNA". The record is from RNAcentral. Lineage: Eukaryota; Metazoa; Chordata; Mammalia; Primates; Hominidae.
GCUGCUUAUCAUUUGCUUUUCCUCAUGAGCUCCUGGACUACCUCAUAUCACCAGCACCCUCUACCCAAGGUCCUGGAGCCAACACUGGAGUAAAAGAGCAGAAGAGAGCUCCUUAGAGGUGGAGGGAUACCCUCUGAGGUCAAAUCAUUGGGUUUGUGGCCAUGAGACCACAGACUUUGCCUGGCUUCCAGUGACUGUCCAAGAUGACCGUGGAGUGCACCGCCUGUACUUGGACAUCACCGUCUUUUCGGAUCCAUACCUGUCAUCCUUGGAAUUUCCCCUGUAUCCAAACCUGUUCCUGAUACAGGUAUAACCCUAAGGAAUAUCUUGGAUGUCUUCACGGGGCUUAUGACUUAUUCUGAGGUUUGCAAAAUAAAGGCCCCCAGCUGAGCAAAGAUAGGGCUACAGCGCCGAGGGAACAGCUGCCGGACCCACCGGAGAGGCCUCCUGGAGCAUGCCGGGACCCCCUCCACCCCCUGGCUUUGGCUGCAUCCAUGGCUAGUUUGCCUGAACUAUAUCUGAGCCACUGAGAGUAUUUAUUAAGCAGAGAAUAAUUUUGAGUUUCACUUUUAUAACUUUUGUUUCAAAAGUUGUUUGUGGAUAAUUUAAUGAAAUGACUGUAAACCAGAAUUCCUCUUUUCAUUAUUUCUUUGUGUCGAUAUAAAAAGAGUUGAUGAUUUUAAAAGCCAGUGAGAUGCCCCUGUCUGUGGAUGUCAGCGGGAGCAUGGGGUCUGAAGCCUUUCUUUGGUGGCUCUCCAGGAAGAUUGCCCGAGCUUGCACUCCCUUUUGGCGGGUUCCAGAGCCUUCCAUUUGAAAGGAGCGUCUCUCCCCACUCUGCCCCACCCAGCACCAGCUCUUCU